This 353-nucleotide unclassified non-coding RNA is filed under the name Hevea brasiliensis (rubber tree). The record is from RNAcentral. Lineage: Eukaryota; Viridiplantae; Streptophyta; Magnoliopsida; Malpighiales; Euphorbiaceae.
ACAAAGAACUGAAAAAUGUGCUAGAUGCAGAGAAUGAAUAAUAAUUAAAAUAUUACAGUCAUUUGUAUAUCAUGUAUGAAGUUCAUAAAUCAAAUUUUAAAAAAAAUCCCAAAUCUAACAACUUCUAAUAAAUGCUCCCUGCAAAACAUAUGGGACAAGAAUGUAUAGGGCAAAGAGAGAGAGAACGGGGGAGAAAGAGAGUUGAGCUCCCUACAAAGUAGGAACAGAAAUAAGCCCACAAUUAUAAAUUUUGAACUUAUGGCCAAAACCUGCACCACAGUUUGGUCCUCAGAAAUUAACUAAUUUUUGGUUCAUGCAUCAUAGGUCAUCACCAGUUCUCCCAUUCCCUUACG